UGCCUGGGCCUAGAGUUCUGGGAGGCUGCUGGGAGGGCACUGCCAGCCAGUUGGCGCCUGCGGGCUGCUGCAGGCUCUUCCCGGGCGUGUAGUGCAGGUGGCCGCGCGUGGUGGCCCGUGGGGCUUUGAGUGGGCGGGGCCCUACACCAGCGAUAGCUUUAAGGGGAGGAGUACUCGUCAGGGACAACACUGUGCGGGUUAAUUUGGGAAGUGAUGGUUAAAGGUCAUGGCUUGAGACUCACUUGUGUUGUUAAUUUUGAUGGGGGUAGAGAUGGAAGCUGCUCCAGUUAACAGUGAGUUCUCAGGCUGGAGACGUAAAGACACUUGAAUUGUAGGUACUGAUUUUGUUCCGCUAUGGGGGCUUUAUUUUGGUCCCGUGUGCUUCCGUUUGAGCAGUCGGUGGUGGAAUUACUAAUUUUUAAGAGCAUCAGAGUUACUUGAAAACGAUGGUGAAGGGAGCCAAAUGAGAGAAAAAGGGAGGAAUUCCUUUUUUACCUCGAGGAGUUUCGUUUCUAGAUCGUGGCAAAAGAGAAGGAAAACAAAUCAAGGUGAACUGAAGAAAAUGAGCCUUUCCCCAGAGGAGAUAGAAGAUGGGGAAGAUGAGACAUCAGAAGAUAAGGACAAUGGCAGUAGAGAUGAGGUGCCUGUGUGGGGGUCCUCACCUUUGGUGUUUUACUCGAAUGCAGAGAGUUGGGACACUACAGACACACUGAGCCACCUGAACAGUCGUUGACUUGACAAGCGUGCCAGGUAAUUCUGGUGCUGGGAGCUCUUUUACUGCACACUGAGAAAUUCAUCCUGGAGAAAUCAACACAGCCGUUGACACGUGGGCCUGAGCAGAUCUUGCACUUGCUGACUGUGCAAUGUGACUGUCGCCUCCUGGCCACAGAGGAGACAUCUCUUCAUUGUUGUUCUUCCUCCUCUAGGUUGAUGUCCCUCAGAAAAAUGGUAGGAAGAUUACUACUGCUCCAGGAAAUAAAAUCGAGAAAAAAAAGUUUCUGGCUCCCAUGUUUGCUGAGAAAUUAAUAUCACCAUGCAGGAAGGGAGCCACAGGGGCCAAGGUUCCAAAAGACAGGAGGAGUGCCCUGCUCGAGAACCAUGAGAAGGGACUUGAGAACCCUGAGGAGGAUGAAGAGCCUAUGAAGAAAGCACCUGAUAAACCAGAAGGAGGAAAUGACCAAACAGAAUGCUUCCCCUGAAACCAAAAUUCAGAAAUUAGAAGGUAACUUCUUUGCUGCGUUUUAGAGCACAAGAGACACGUGGAGAGUUUCAUAUUGGCAAAAACCAAAACUCUGUUAGCCCAAAUGAUGGACAAAGGGAUUUUAAUUGCAGCCUGGUGUUACAAUAUGCCAGAUUCUUCAAUGGAAAUUUUUUUAGCAUCAUUCUUUCUGAACUGUUUCUUUGAGUUCUUUCUCUCUCUCUCUCUCUCUUUUUCUUUGCCUUUUUGUAUGUCAGCUAAACCACCUGUAAGUUUCAAACUAUUUGUUGGAAACCUGAAUUUCAACAAAACUGUUGCUGAACUAAAAACUGGUCUUAGUGAAUUUUUUGCUAAAAAUGACGUCGCAGUCGUUGGUGUCAGAGUUGGCUUGUCCAGGUAAAUACUGAUAAAUUAAGGGUGUUGUUAAGAGUUUUAUCAGCCCAACAAUUAUUAUUCU
Lagenorhynchus albirostris (white-beaked dolphin) is the source of this 1655-nucleotide long non-coding RNA. RefSeq lists it as uncharacterized. The transcript has 5 exons. The record is from RefSeq and is a predicted model, not a curated record. NCBI's taxonomy places the organism in Eukaryota, Metazoa, Chordata, Mammalia, Artiodactyla, Delphinidae.